UCGUCGGCCUGCUGCGGGGCGAUGAAAUGAAUGUGGGUGUCCACCGCACCUGCGGUGAGGAUCUUGCCUUCGCCGGCGAUGACGUCGGUGCCGGGGCCGACGAUGAUGGUCACAUCGGGCUGGAUGUCGGGAUUGCCGGCCUUUCCGAUGCCUGAGAUGCGGCCAGCCUUGAUCCCCACAUCGGCUUUGACGAUGCCCCAGUGAUCGAGGAUCACGACGUUGGUGAUGACGAGAUCGGCAACUUCGGCCGCCAGCCGCUGGCUUUGGCCCAUGCCGUCGCGG
This 282-nucleotide small RNA is filed under the name Mesorhizobium sp. RMAD-H1. RNAcentral describes it as "5' ureB small RNA". It matches the Rfam family "5' ureB small RNA". Lineage: Bacteria; Pseudomonadati; Pseudomonadota; Alphaproteobacteria; Hyphomicrobiales; Phyllobacteriaceae. The record is from RNAcentral.